AAAACUGAGGUGCCUUUGCCAAUCUUCUGUUUCUCUUUGACGAGCCCUGAAUUUUCUGAGGGGAGCCUGCUCCGAAAGGCAUCAUGCCAGGAGUUCGCAAAUAUAAUUUAAAGACAGAGCCUC
Unclassified non-coding RNA from Fukomys damarensis (Damara mole-rat), 123 nucleotides. The record is from Ensembl. Lineage: Eukaryota; Metazoa; Chordata; Mammalia; Rodentia; Bathyergidae.